GAUGCAUCGAUGUCAUCUAUUGAAAUCGGAACGAUCCAGAGAACAGCUUUGCAUGGCCCCUUUCAAGGGGGACUCCCACAAAUCGAGAAGCGGAACCAAUUUUU
Non-coding RNA from Cyclospora cayetanensis, 104 nucleotides. The record is from Rfam. Lineage: Eukaryota; Apicomplexa; Conoidasida; Eucoccidiorida; Eimeriidae.